GAUGAACGCUGGCGGCGUGCCUAAUACAUGCAAGUUGAGCGCUGAAGGUUGGUACUUGUACCAACUGGAUGAGCAGCGAACGGGUGAGUAACGCGUGGGGAAUCUGCCUUUGAGCGGGGGACAACAUUUGGAAACGAAUGCUAAUACCGCAUAAAAACUUUAAACACAAGUUUUAAGUUUGAAAGAUGCAAUUGCAUCACUCAAAGAUGAUCCCGCGUUGUAUUAGCUAGUUGGUGAGGUAAAGGCUCACCAAGGCGAUGAUACAUAGCCGACCUGAGAGGGUGAUCGGCCAAAUUGGGACUGAGACACGGCCCAAACUCCUACGGGAGGCAGCAGUAGGGAAUCUUCGGCAAUGGACGAAAGUCUGACCGAGCAACGCCGCGUGAGUGAAGAAGGUUUUCGGAUCGUAAAACUCUGUUGGUAGAGAAGAACGUUGGUGAGAGUGGAAAGCUCAUCAAGUGACGGUAACUACCCAGAAAGGGACGGCUAACUACGUG
This 497-nucleotide ribosomal RNA is filed under the name uncultured bacterium. RNAcentral's name for it is "partial 16S ribosomal RNA". It matches the Rfam family "Bacterial small subunit ribosomal RNA", at positions 28 to 507 of the family's 1533-position model. The record is from RNAcentral.